UUUAUUAAGGAUGAUUUAGUUUAUUACUUAUAAACGAAGGAUAAAAAAAGACCGAAUACGAUUCCUGUAUUCGGUCCAGGGAAAUGGCUCUUGGGAGAGAGCCGUGCGCUAAAAGUUGGCAUUAAUGCAGGCUCAGUCGCCUUGCCUUUUAAGAAUAGAUGACGACACCAGCUUUUCCAGUUUGCGGCUAAAGUCGCAGCAAAAAGCGGUCAGAACGUCAUAAAAAAGAAAAACCGCAACGCGCCCUGCCG
RNAcentral lists this unclassified non-coding RNA (251 nucleotides) under Cronobacter sakazakii ATCC BAA-894. Lineage: Bacteria; Pseudomonadati; Pseudomonadota; Gammaproteobacteria; Enterobacterales; Enterobacteriaceae. The record is from RNAcentral.